RNAcentral lists this unclassified non-coding RNA (219 nucleotides) under Hevea brasiliensis (rubber tree). The record is from RNAcentral. Lineage: Eukaryota; Viridiplantae; Streptophyta; Magnoliopsida; Malpighiales; Euphorbiaceae.
GUUUUCUUUCUCUGUUUCUCUUCUUUGGCUCCUCCCAUUUCUCUCUAAUUCUUUCUUUUAUCUCUCUGCUUUCUUUCUCUUUCUUUCUGAACCAUAUCUGAUGGAAAUCAAUAAGAACAACAAGAUCCUAGAAAUGUUCGUGAGAUUAUUCAAGAUGCAAUUGCACAAGAAACUCCAAUCACAAGGACUAGAAUUUAGAAGAUGCAAGAGUUGAUUGAG